UACAGAGGUCCCAAGCGUUGUUCGGAUUCACUGGGCGUAAAGGGUGCGUAGGCGGCAGGGCAAGUUUGAUGUGAAAUCUCCGAGCUUAACUCGGAAACUGCAUUGAAUACUAUCCUGCUCGAGGGUUGGAAGGGGGACUGGAAUUCUCGGUGUAGCAGUGAAAUGCGUAGAUAUCGAGAGGAACACCAGUGGCGAAGGCGAGUCCCUGGACAACACCUGACACUGAGGCACGAAAGCUAGGGGAGCAAACAGG
RNAcentral lists this ribosomal RNA (253 nucleotides) under uncultured bacterium. Its description in RNAcentral is "partial 16S ribosomal RNA". It matches the Rfam family "Bacterial small subunit ribosomal RNA", at positions 524 to 776 of the family's 1533-position model. The record is from RNAcentral.